This 253-nucleotide ribosomal RNA is filed under the name uncultured bacterium. Its description in RNAcentral is "partial 16S ribosomal RNA". It matches the Rfam family "Bacterial small subunit ribosomal RNA", at positions 524 to 776 of the family's 1533-position model. The record is from RNAcentral.
UACAGAGGGGGCAAGCGUUGUUCGGAAUUACUGGGCGUAAAGGGCGCGUAGGCGGCCUUCUAAGUCGAACGUGAAAUCCCCGGGCUCAACCCGGGAACUGCGUCCGAUACUGGAUGGCUUGAAUUCGGGAGAGGGAUGCAGAAUUCCAGGUGUAGCGGUGAAAUGCGUAGAUAUCUGGAGGAACACCGGUGGCGAAGGCGACAUCCUGGACCGGUAUUGACGCUGAGGCGCGAAAGCCAGGGGAGCAAACGGG